This 168-nucleotide ribosomal RNA is filed under the name uncultured bacterium. Its description in RNAcentral is "partial 16S ribosomal RNA". It matches the Rfam family "Bacterial small subunit ribosomal RNA", at positions 335 to 495 of the family's 1533-position model. The record is from RNAcentral.
ACUCCUACGGGAGGCAGCAGUAGGGAAUCUUCGGCAAUGGACGAAAGUCUGACCGAGCAACGCCGCGUGAGUGAAGAAGGUUUUCGGAUCGUAAAACUCUGUUGUUAGAGAAGAACAAGGACGUUAGUAACUGAACGUCCCCUGACGGUAUCUAACCAGAAAGCCACG